ACUCCUGCGGGAGGCAGCAGUGGGGAAUAUUGGACAAUGGGCGCAAGCCUGAUCCAGCCAUGCCGCGUGAGUGAUGAAGGCCCUAGGGUUGUAAAGCUCUUUCACCGGUGAAGAUAAUGACGGUAACCGGAGAAGAAGCCCCGGCUAACUUCGUGCCAGCAGCCGCGGUAAUACGAAGGGGGCUAGCGUUGUUCGGAUUUACUGGGCGUAAAGCGCACGUAGGCGGACUAUUAAGUCAGGGGUGAAAUCCCGGGGCUCAACCCCGGAACUGCCUUUGAUACUGGUAGUCUUGAGUUCGAGAGAGGUGAGUGGAAUUCCGAGUGUAGGGGUGAAAUUCGUAGAUAUUCGGAGGAACACCAGUGGCGAAGGCGGCUCACUGGCUCGAUACUGACGCUGCGGUGCGAAAGCGUGGGGAGCAAACAGGAUUAGAAACCCCUGUAGUCCCA
Molecule: ribosomal RNA, 446 nt
Filed under: uncultured organism
Description: partial 16S ribosomal RNA
Rfam family: Bacterial small subunit ribosomal RNA
Source: RNAcentral